UACGUAGGGGGCAAGCGUUGUCCGGAUUUAUUGGGCGUAAAGAGCGUGUAGGCGGCUUUACAGGUCCGUUGUGAAAACUCGAGGCUCAACCUCGAGACGCCGGUGGAAACCGUAAAGCUAGAGUCCGGAAGAGGAGAGUGGAAUUCCUGGUGUAGCGGUGAAAUGCGCAGAUAUCAGGAGGAACACCGAUGGCGAAGGCAGCUCGCUGGGACGGUACUGACGCUGAGACGCGAAAGCGUGGGGAGCAAACAGG
RNAcentral lists this ribosomal RNA (253 nucleotides) under uncultured bacterium. Its description in RNAcentral is "partial 16S ribosomal RNA". It matches the Rfam family "Bacterial small subunit ribosomal RNA", at positions 524 to 776 of the family's 1533-position model. The record is from RNAcentral.